AGAUCAAGAACACUCUCCAGGAGGUAGGUGUAUGUGUGUCAAAGUCAACAAUCAAGAGAAGACUUCACCAGAGUGAAUACAGAGGGUUCACCACAAGAUGUAAACCAUUGGUGAGCCUCAAAAACAGGAAGGCCAGAUUAGAGUUUGCCAAACAACAUCUAAAAAAGCCUUCACAGUUCUGGAACAACAUCCUAUGGACAGAUGAGACCAAGAUCAACUUGUACCAGAGUGAUGGGAAGAGAAGAGUAUGGAGAAGGAAAGGAACUGCUCAUGAUCCAAAGCAUACCACCUCAUCAGUGAAGCAUGGUGGUAGUAGUGUCAUGGCGUGGGCAUGUAUGGCUGGGAAUGGAACUGGUUCUCUUGUAUUUAUUGAUGAUGUGACAAAAGCAGCAGGAUGAAUUCUGAAGUGUUUCGGGCAAUAUUAUCUGCUCAUAUUCAGCCAAAUGCUUCAGAACUCAUUGGACGGCGCUUCACAGUGCAGAUGGACAAUGACCCGAAGCAUACUGCGAAAGCAACCAAGGAGUUUUUUAAGGGAAAGAAGUGGAAUGUUAUGCAAUGGCCAAGUCAAUCACCUGACCUGAAUCCGAUUGAGCAUGCAUUUCACUUGCUGAAGACAAAACUGAAGGGAAAAUGCCCCAAGAACAAGCAGGAACUGAAGACAGUUGCAGUAGAGGCCUGGCAGAGCAUCACCAGGGAUGAAACCCAGCGUCUGGUGAUGUCUAUGCGUUCCAGACUUCAGGCUGUAAUUGACUGCAAAGGAUUUGCAACCAAGUAUUAAAAAGUGAAAGUUUGAUUUAUGAUUGUUAAUCUGUCCCAUUACUUUUGGUCCCUUAAAAGGUGGGAGGCACAUAUACAAACUGUUGUAAUUCCUACACCGUUCACCUGAUUUGGAUGUAAAUACCGUCAAAUUAAAGCUGAAAGUCUGCAGUUAAAGCACAUCUUGUUUGUUUCAUUUCAAAUCCAUUGUGGUGGUGUAUAGAGCCAAAAAGAUUAGAAUUGUGUCGAUGUCCCAAUAUUUAUGGACCUGACUGUAUUUACAGGAGUGCCAUG
This is a long non-coding RNA of Sander lucioperca (pikeperch), 1050 nucleotides long. RefSeq lists it as uncharacterized. The transcript is spliced from 3 exons. The record is from RefSeq and is a predicted model, not a curated record. NCBI's taxonomy places the organism in Eukaryota, Metazoa, Chordata, Actinopteri, Perciformes, Percidae.